Molecule: ribosomal RNA, 1544 nt
Filed under: Kyphosus vaigiensis (brassy chub)
Lineage: Eukaryota; Metazoa; Chordata; Actinopteri; Centrarchiformes; Kyphosidae
Description: partial 16S ribosomal RNA
Source: RNAcentral
CGCCCACUAGCUAGCCCCCCAAACCAAAAACAACACACCAAUAUAAAUAUCCCUAAAUGCACUAACACCCGCAUAAAACAAACCAUUUUUCCCCCUUAGUAUGGGCGACAGAAAAGGAACCGUGGCGCAAUAGAGAAAGUACCGCAAGGGAACGCUGAAAGAGAAAUGAAACAACUCAGUCAAGCUAAAAAAAGCAGAGAUUUAAGCUCGUACCUUUUGCAUCAUGAUUUAGCCAGUAAAACCCAAGCAAAGAGCCCUUUAGUUUGGUUUCCCGAAACUAAGUGAGCUACUCCAAGACAGCCUAUUAAUAGGGCAAACCCGUCCCUGUGGCAAAAGGGUGGGAAGAGCUUUGAGUAGAGGUGACAAACCUACCGAACUUAGUUAUAGCUGGUUGCCUGAGAAUUGAAUAGAAGUUCAGCCUCUCGGCUUCUUCCCUCACCCUCGUCCGACCCCCCUCUGACACCUUAAGAAACCGCGAGAGUUACUCAAAGGGGGUACAGCCCCUUUGAGACAAGACACAACUUUACCAGGAGGGUAAAGAUCAUAAUAACAAAAAGGUAAAAUGUUCUGGUGGGCCUAAAAGCAGCCAUCCCUAUAGAAAGCGUUAAAGCUCAGACAUACCCCUCAUCCUUUUAUACUGAUAAUCUAAUCUUAACCCCCUAACCCUACCAGGCCAUCCCAUGCAAACAUGGGAGCGACUAUGCUAAUAUGAGUAAUAAGAGAGCCUCCGCCUCUCUCCUUGCACACGUGUAAAUCGGAAUGGACCCCCCACCGAAUCUUAACGGCCCCAAAUAAAGAGGGAACUGAACAAGAGACCAAMCMACCAGAAAANCYCCCCCCCMGGNUAANNNNNNNNANAAAAAAAAANAGGGNNUUNGNCNAAACCCCNAAAAAANCCCNNNCCCUUUUUUNCCCAAAAAAAANNUNNNCNUUUUUNNNAAAAANUGNNGGAAANNAAGAAGGUACCCCCCCCCCSCCCNNGSKRUGAYWAUNUUUUUAACGGCCGCGGUAUUUUGACCGUGCGAAGGUAGCGCAAUCACUUGUCUUUUAAAUGGAGACCNGUAUGAANGGCAUAACGAGGGCUUAGCUGUCUUCUUUUUUCAGUCAAUGAAAUUGAUAUCCCCCCGUGCAGAACSGGGGAUAACACCAUAAGACGAGAAGACCCUAUGGAGCUUUAGACACCAAGGCAGAUCAUGUUAAACACCCCUUCACAAAGGACUAAACCAGAUGAACCCUGCCCUAAUGUCUUUGGUUGGGGCGACCGCGGGGAAACAAAAAACCCCCAUGUGGAAUGGGAACACUCCUUCCUACAACUAAGAGCUCCCGCUCUAAUGACCAGAACUUCUGACCAAUCAGAUCCGGCAACGCCGAUCAACGAACCGAGUUACCCUAGGGAUAACAGCGCAAUCCCCUUUUAGAGCCCAUAUCGACAAGGGGGUUUACGACCUCGAUGUUGGAUCAGGACAUCCUAAUGGUGCAGCCGCUAUUAAGGGUUCGUUUKUCAACGAUUAAAAWCCUMCCYGNNGAUNUGAGUUCNNANCGGA